This 1992-nucleotide long non-coding RNA is filed under the name Malus domestica (apple). RNAcentral describes it as "long non-coding RNA (MDOM_LNC008670)". The record is from RNAcentral. Lineage: Eukaryota; Viridiplantae; Streptophyta; Magnoliopsida; Rosales; Rosaceae.
AUAUAAGGAACUAACUAAGAAAAGACGAGUGAAUUCGAAGUAAAAAUAUAUAUAAAUAUGAUUCGAUCAAAUACCCCCAUACUUAGCUUUUGCUAGUCCUCGAGCAAAACAAAGAAAACAUGAAAAAGUACUAACAUGAAAAACAUUAGUUUCCCCCUAUGUGACCUUCAUAGAAUUUCAUUUGAGAACACAAAUCAUCAAGAACCAUAGCUAGCACCAAACAAGUUAAAUCAAGUUCAUCUUCCUUAUUCAAAUAUUAGCAGUAAUCUUUGAAUCAUCCUUGAAGGGUAGUGUGUGAGAUAGCCAUGCUAAUGCAAUUUCAAAUUUUUAUUUUUAAAAUCAUCAUAUGCAAACUAGUAACCUUCUCACGGGAUAAACACUCAAUCACAUAUGUGUUUAGUUUUAAUGUGUUUCGCUCAAAGAAUCAAAUGUGAAAUUUCUACCAUAAGCUUGCAUAAAGAUCACUUCUCCACAGUCAUAAUUGCAAAACUUAAAUCAAGAGGACUUUUAUUGGAUGUAAUGAGGCUUAGGGAGAGGGUUAUUGAAACGAAAGAAUAGGAAAACACAAGUUCCAAGCUACAUUGCAAGCAAUUCUUUUCUUUAGAUUUAUAAAAACUCAAGCUCUCCAACGAUUCUUCUGAAACCUCCAACCACACCCUUAAACUGAAACUUUAAAAACUUUUUAUUUUCUUUGUAUACAAUCCUUCUUUUUCUUUUCUUUUUUUUUUUUUUUUUUUUUUUUUUUUUUUUUUUUUUAAAUACAAACAUGAAAUACCCCCACACUUAUUCUUUUGCCAAACACCUUCAAAGUACUUCACAAACGUUUCUCAUAAGACAAUCUCGCAUUGCUCGCUUGGAAAGGGUAAUGAAAAAUGUUUCAGGUAUAAGGGUAGACAUAUCUGGUGAUAAGAAAUAAAAGGUUCAACAUACACAGCUCAAAUUGGCAAACUAAUGAUAUCAUUUUUCUUUGGGAAACAUGGUUAUUUGGGCCAUAGUGGUAAACCUAAUGCCUCUAUCAUUUCCAAGUUCAUGCAAUCAAUGACAAACAAUUCGAAAGAUCGUUACGCAAGUUCUAGAGAUGUAUAUCACAUAAGUUCAUCACACAUAAAAAAAUAGGAGUGUAUGAAAAAUGCACACACUUUCAAUAGGCUCAAAAACUCACAUAGGAUGUAUAUGGUCACUAAAUUCACAUAUGAAGCUUUAAGUCAUACUUUAGUUUCACAUUAACAAGGCUAUGUGCAUUUGGUUUUUCAAAGAUGAUCAAACAUGUACAAAACUAACAAGAGAAUAAGGAAUUUCACAAAACACAUGUUAACUAAGUUCUUGAUGAUCAUGGUUCGAAUUUGAUCCAAUUAUAUCAUUGAGUCGGGAAACUAACAAAAAUCUAAUUCAAAACAAUAAGGGGAACAAGACAAUUUUUUUGGAUUUUUUUAAAUUUUCCGAUUUUUUUUUUUUUUUUAGAGAAAACAAAACUAAAAAAAUAAAAAGCAACAACACAGAAACAAAUGAAACCAGUUCGAAGUUGAAGGUACAAAAAAUUUCAAUUUGGUCAUUUUUACCCUUUACCCCCACACUUAAACUGGACAUUGUCCCCAAUGUCAUAAAACACUAUAAUGCAAAUAAAAAUAUAAAAUAAAAUAAAUAAAUAAUAAGAAACAAAAUAACGCAAUUGGACUGAAAACUUCCCUAAUUUGCAGUAAAAUCAAGCGAUGACCCCCAAGCUAAAAUUCUACAAUCAGCUUCAAGGGUGGAAAGAACCAAAAGUUCCUGCAAAGAAAAGAAAUAAUUCAGUUAAGUAACGCAAGAAAAUUAAUUAAAAAAAAAAAAAAAUUGCAAACGAAAAAUUGAAAAUUACGAUAAAAGAUAUGAAUAAAACUAAUAAGUAAUCAUUGGUCGUGCUUGUUGACUUUCCACAGCGUUCCUCUUGAACAGGGUGACACUUAGCUUUUUACUUGCAAGUGAUGAUUUGAUGAUAUUGUACGGCGAAGCUUU